UGGGGAAUCUUCCGCAAUGGACGAAAGUCUGACGGAGCAACGCCGCGUGAGUGAAGACGGCCUUCGGGUUGUAAAGCUCUUUGAUCCGGGACGAAAGUGCCUGAGGUGAAUAGCCUAAGGAAGUGACGGUACCGGAAAAGCAAGCCACGGCUAACUACGUGCCAGCAGCCGCGGUAAUACGUAGGUGGCAAGCGUUGUCCGGAAUUAUUGGUCGUAAAGCGCGGGCAGACGGCUUCCUACGUCCAUCUUAAAAGGGCGGGGCUUAACCCCGUGAUGGGGUGGAAACUGGGAAGCUAGAGUAUCGGAGAGGAAAGUGGAAUUCCUAGUGUAGCGGUGAAAUGCGUAGAGAUUAGGAAGAACACCGGUGGCGAAGGCGACUUUCUGGACGAAAACUGACGCUGAGGCGCGAAAGCGUGGGGAGCAAACAGG
RNAcentral lists this ribosomal RNA (429 nucleotides) under Fusobacteriota bacterium. RNAcentral describes it as "Fusobacteria bacterium partial 16S ribosomal RNA". It matches the Rfam family "Bacterial small subunit ribosomal RNA", at positions 355 to 776 of the family's 1533-position model. Lineage: Bacteria; Fusobacteriati; Fusobacteriota. The record is from RNAcentral.